AACGCUGGCGGYGCUGCUUAACACAUGCAAGUCAGAACGGUAACAGGGCCAGCUUGCUGGCCGCUGACSCGCGUGGCGCACGGGUGAGUAACGCGUGGGUUACCUGCCCAUCAGUGGGGGACAACUACGGGAAACCGUAGCUAAUACCGCAUACGACCUUCGGGUGAAAGCCGGGGACUCCUUCGGGAGCCUGGCGCUGAUGGAUGGGCSCGCGUCCGAUUAGCUUGUKGGUGGGGUAAUGGCUUACCAAGGCGAUGAUCGGUAGCUGGUUUGAGAGGAUGAUCAGCCACACUGGGACUGAGACACGGCCCCAGACUCCUACGGGAGGCAGCAGUGGGGAAUAUUGCACAAUGGGGGAAACCCUGAUGCAGCGACGCCGCGUGCGGGAAGAAGGCCUUCGGGUUGUAAACCGCUUUCAGCAGGGAAGAAGGAAUGAGGGCUAAUACCCCUCUGCCUUGACGGUACCUGCAGAAGAAGCUCCGGCUAAUUUCGUGCCAGCAGCCGCGGUAAUACGAAAGGGGCAAGCGUUGUUCGGAUUUACUGGGCGUAAAGAGAUCGUAGGUGGCUUAUCAAGUCGGAUGUGAAAUCCCGGGGCUCAACCCCGGAACUGCAUUCGAUACUGGUAGGCUAGAGUUCGGGAGGGGGGAUGCGGAAUUCCGCGUGUAGCAGUGAAAUGCGUAGAUAUGCGGAGGAACACCGGAGGCGAAGGCGGCAUCCUGGACCGAUACUGACACUGAGGAUCGAAAGCGUGGGUAGCAAACAGGAUUAGAUACCCUGGUAGUCCACGCCCUWAACGAUGACCACUAGCCGUUGCGRGUWUCGUACMCCUGCAGUGGCGCAGCUAACGCGUAUAAGUGGUUCCGCCUGGGGGAGGUACGGCCGCAAGAUUAAGU
Molecule: ribosomal RNA, 893 nt
Filed under: uncultured Zetaproteobacteria bacterium
Lineage: Bacteria; Pseudomonadati; Pseudomonadota; Candidatius Mariprofundia
Description: bacterial SSU rRNA
Rfam family: Bacterial small subunit ribosomal RNA
Source: RNAcentral